This is a non-coding RNA of Pelobates cultripes (western spadefoot toad), 205 nucleotides long. The record is from the annotation of a GenBank genome assembly. NCBI's taxonomy places the organism in Eukaryota, Metazoa, Chordata, Amphibia, Anura, Pelobatidae.
GUGUGUGUAUGCCAGUAUGUCUGUGUGUGUGUCAGUAUGUCUGUGUGUAUGCCAGUAUGUCUGUGUGUGUGUGUGUGUGUGUCAGUAUGUCUGUGUGUAUGCCAGUAUGUCUGUGUGUAUGCCAGUAUGUCAGUGUGUGUGUGUGUGUGUGUGUGUGUCAGUAUGUUUGUGUGUAUACCAGUAUGUCUGUGUGUGUGUAUGUAGG